UAAUUGAUUUUGACCUCAAUUUAAUUAAUUUUGUCGAUUAGUUCUUAAUUUUUGAAUCUUGGAACCAAACUGACUCAUUUUAUAUUAUUUUUUAAUUAUUUAAAAUAUAUUAAUUUUUAUAAUAUAUGACAAAUAUAUUACCAUAUAAACCCAACCUAAUAACGCAAUCACCUAUGAACACAAAAAUCUAAUUAAACAACCCAAUUAAAAAAUAAAAAAAUAAACAACAAACUUUUAGAAAAACCCAAAUAAUCAAUCUAGCUCAUCCUAUUUCCCCCAAAAAAUCCCCGAUCUCGACAUUUCUAACCAAAAAUUCCCCUAAAACGAUUGAAAAACCGUAAAACUUAAAAUUGAGCUA
This 358-nucleotide long non-coding RNA is filed under the name Gossypium raimondii (Peruvian cotton). RNAcentral describes it as "long non-coding RNA (GRAI_LNC001059)". The record is from RNAcentral. Lineage: Eukaryota; Viridiplantae; Streptophyta; Magnoliopsida; Malvales; Malvaceae.